This 253-nucleotide ribosomal RNA is filed under the name uncultured bacterium. RNAcentral's name for it is "partial 16S ribosomal RNA". It matches the Rfam family "Bacterial small subunit ribosomal RNA", at positions 524 to 776 of the family's 1533-position model. The record is from RNAcentral.
UACAGAGGUCUCAAGCGUUGUUCGGAUUCAUUGGGCGUAAAGGGUGCGUAGGUGGCGGGGUAAGUCAGGUGUGAAAUUUCGGAGCUCAACUCCGAAACUGCAUUUGAUACUGCCUUGCUUGAGGACUGGAGAGGAGACUGGAAUUCACGGUGUAGCAGUGAAAUGCGUAGAUAUCGUGAGGAAGACCAGUGGCGAAGGCGGGUCUCUGGACAGUUCCUGACACCGAGGCACGAAGGCCAGGGGAGCAAACGGG